ACUCAAAUGAAUAGACGGGGACCCGCACAAGCAGAGGAGCAUGUGGUUUAAUUCGACGGUAAGCGAAGAACCUUACCUAGGUUUGAAAUGUAGCUGCAAGCCCCCAGAAACGGGGGCCGCCUUCGAGGGUGCUACACAGGUGCUGCAUGGUUGCCGUCAGCUCGUGUCGUGAGAUGUACCGUUAAGUCGGGUAACGAGCGCAACCCCUGUCCCGUGUUGAUUUUCACGGGAGACCGCCUCGGAUAACGGGGAGGAAGGUGGGGAUGACGUCAAAUCAGCAUGGCUCUUACACCUAGGGCUACACACGUGCUACAAUGGCAUGGACAAUGGGCCGCCAAGUCGCAAGACGGAGCCAAUCCCACCAAACCAUGCCUCAGUUCGGAUUGGGGGCUGCAAUUCGCCCCCAUGAAGCUGGAUUUGCUAGUAACGGCCGAUCAGCCACGCGGCCGUGAAUACGUUCUCGGGUCUUGCACACACCGCCCGU
Molecule: ribosomal RNA, 484 nt
Filed under: uncultured bacterium
Lineage: Bacteria
Description: partial 16S ribosomal RNA
Rfam family: Bacterial small subunit ribosomal RNA
Source: RNAcentral